AAGUCGUAACAAGGUCUCCGUUGGUGAACCAGCGGAGGGAUCAUUACAGAGUUGCAAAACUCCCAACCCUUUGUGAACGAACCUACCAGUUGCCUCGGCGGCGAGCCCCCUGGGCGGACCGCCGGCGGAAUACAAACUCUUUGCAUUACAGUAUCUCUGAUUACUUAUUCAAUAAGUUAAAACUUUCAACAACGGAUCUCUUGGUUCUG
This 209-nucleotide unclassified non-coding RNA is filed under the name Podospora sp. Its description in RNAcentral is "partial internal transcribed spacer region". The stretch from base 1 to 46 matches the Rfam family "Eukaryotic small subunit ribosomal RNA", at positions 1786 to 1831 of the family's 1831-position model. The record is from RNAcentral. RNAcentral also lists the same sequence under 2 other names. Lineage: Eukaryota; Fungi; Ascomycota; Sordariomycetes; Sordariales; Podosporaceae.